Molecule: small nuclear RNA, 115 nt
Organism: Bombina bombina (fire-bellied toad)
Lineage: Eukaryota; Metazoa; Chordata; Amphibia; Anura; Bombinatoridae
Product: U5 spliceosomal RNA
Exons: 1
Source: RefSeq, a predicted model, not a curated record
AUGCUCUGGUUUCUCUUCAGAUUGAAUAAAGCUUUCACCUUUACUAAAAUUUUCUGUGGAGAAGAUCAUCCAUGAGUUUUUACUAAUUUUUUGACACUCUGCUCCUUGCUGGGCU